UGUUCUUUCUACUGGAGCGGCCUUGUC
This 27-nucleotide non-coding RNA is filed under the name Mus musculus (house mouse). Lineage: Eukaryota; Metazoa; Chordata; Mammalia; Rodentia; Muridae. The record is from RNAcentral.